RNAcentral lists this ribosomal RNA (253 nucleotides) under uncultured bacterium. Its description in RNAcentral is "partial 16S ribosomal RNA". It matches the Rfam family "Bacterial small subunit ribosomal RNA", at positions 524 to 776 of the family's 1533-position model. The record is from RNAcentral.
UACGUAGGUGGCAAGCGUUGUCCGGAUUUACUGGGCGUAAAGAGCGCGCAGGCGGUCAAGUAAGUCGAAUGUGAAAGCCCCCGGCUCAACCGGGGAGGGUCAUUGGAAACUGGGGAACUUGAGUACUGAAGAGGAAAGCGGAAUUCCACGUGUAGCGGUGAAAUGCGUAGAGGUGUGGAGGAACACCAGUGGCGAAGGCGGCUUUCUGGUCAGUAACUGACGCUGAGGCGCGAAAGCGUGGGGAGCAAACAGG